This 159-nucleotide small nuclear RNA is filed under the name Nelumbo nucifera (sacred lotus). RNAcentral describes it as "U1 spliceosomal RNA". It matches the Rfam family "U1 spliceosomal RNA". Rfam says of the family: U1 is a small nuclear RNA (snRNA) component of the spliceosome (involved in pre-mRNA splicing). Its 5' end forms complementary base pairs with the 5' splice junction, thus defining the 5' donor site of an intron. Lineage: Eukaryota; Viridiplantae; Streptophyta; Magnoliopsida; Proteales; Nelumbonaceae. The record is from Rfam by way of RNAcentral.
AUAGAUAGAGGCGGAGUCAAUGGGUGAUCAAGAAGGCCUAUGACUUAGGUUGCCAACCUCCAUUGCACAAGGGAGGGGUGCCCGCCUAACAUCUCCCCAAGUGGGAGAGUGUACGUCAUAAUUUGUGGUAGUAGGGAUAUGCGUUUGUGCAGCCCCUAU